Molecule: ribosomal RNA, 395 nt
Filed under: uncultured bacterium
Lineage: Bacteria
Description: bacterial SSU rRNA
Rfam family: Bacterial small subunit ribosomal RNA
Source: RNAcentral
AUUGAACGCUGGCGGCAGGCCUAACACAUGCAAGUCGAACGGUAACAGGAAGAAGCUUGCUUCUUUGCUGACGAGUGGCGGACGGGUGAGUAAUGUCUGGGAAACUGCCUGAUGGAGGGGGAUAACUACUGGAAACGGUAGCUAAUACCGCAUAACGUCGCAAGACCAAAGAGGGGGGACCCUUCGGGGCCUCUUGCCAUCGGAUGUGCCCAGAUGGGAUUAGCUAGUAGGUGGGGUAACGGCUCACCUAGGCGACGAUCCCUAGCUGGUCUGAGAGGAUGACCAGCCACACUGGAACUGAGACACGGUCCAGACUCCUACGGGAGGCAGCAGUGGGGAAUAUUGCACAAUGGGCGCAAGCCUGAUGCAGCCAUGCCGCGUGUAUGAAGAAGGCC